CUUGAGCGAACCGAGCCACAGCGGAUGGCCGGAGGUGCGGCCCUUGCCGUAGGUGGCGAGCAGCGCGCCCGCCUC
Streptomyces violaceusniger Tu 4113 is the source of this 75-nucleotide non-coding RNA. The record is from Rfam. NCBI's taxonomy places the organism in Bacteria, Bacillati, Actinomycetota, Actinomycetes, Kitasatosporales, Streptomycetaceae.